UACGCAGGGUGCAAGCGUUGUCCGGAAUUAUUGGGCGUAAAGAGCUCGUAGGCGGUCUGUCGCGUCGGCUGUGAAAUCCCGAGGCUCAACCUCGGGUCUGCAGUCGAUACGGGCAAACUAGAGUAUUGCAGGGGAGACUGGAAUUCCUGGUGUAGCGGUGAAAUGCGCAGAUAUCAGGAGGAACACCGGUGGCGAAGGCGGGUCUCUGGGCAAUAACUGACGCUGAGGAGCGAAAGCGUGGGGAGCGAACAGG
Molecule: ribosomal RNA, 253 nt
Filed under: uncultured bacterium
Lineage: Bacteria
Description: partial 16S ribosomal RNA
Rfam family: Bacterial small subunit ribosomal RNA
Source: RNAcentral